GGGGGCUGCGGGUGCGAGCGGCAGCGGGAGCGGGCCGCGGCCCAGGCAGCCCAUCGGGCGACUCCAGCCACAGCGGGCUCGGGGGGCUGCACCCGCCCUGGGGUGCUGGGGGUUCAGCCCCCUGCCGUGCACCUCCCCGCAGCGGCCUCUGGGGGCAGUAGCCCCGCGGCCUCCAGGACCACGGCACCCCGUAUCUGGAAUGGCAGGGAUCCUGGGGGUGGGGACGGGGAGGGGGAGAGACGUGCACGUGGGGUGAAGGAGGGAAGGGGCAGUGAGCCGUUGGAACGGGAAUCAGGAAGGCGAUUGGAUUAAAACACCGGCCUCUUCUUAUUAAUCCUGCAUUUCAAAAGCUUGUAAAUCCUGUGCAGCCGGAGGAGAUAAAAGCCGGCUCAUCCCCAUCCCGGGGCUGACACGCUUGCAGUGACACAGGGUGGCUCAGCGGCCGGGCCUGUGUGCGCACACGCGUGUGCCUGGGGCCCACCCACCAGCCACCAGCCGGCGUCAGAGCCAGGAGAGAGGAGCACAGCUGCAGGUGUGUACCUAGGUACCGGGUGAUGUAAAUCCGUUGGGAUAUGCAUCCAAGUGGCGGGGCUAUGCAUCUGUCAAAGAGUGUACUCUUUGCUGUCUGCACACAGCUGUCCAGGCUCAGGAUGCAGCAGGUGUCUGCAGCAUCCAGGAGGAAGAAGACCCAAGAACAUCCAGCGACAGCCCUGGCCAGUUCCCUGAGCUCCAGCAGGAGGACCCAGCCAAUUGGUCCCCAACUCUCUGCUGGCUGUCUGUCACACAGAGGCAUCCUCUGCCCUGUAAGUGAUGGUGGGGGGGGUCACCCUGGCAUGUUGUCAGACCUGGCACAAGGACACUGGGAAGGUGUAGCUCCGUGUGUGUGUGUGUGUGUGUGUGUGUCCAUUACAGGCUUCUGAGUGCCAGGCCUGCCUGCAGCUUGUGUCUGAAUGGGUUUAUGCUCAACACAGGGAGCACCCGCAGUGCUGGUAUAAUUGUGUGUAAGGGACUGUGCUUUCUGCCCAGACGGUUAUGGUGCUUCUUUUUUUCUGUGUGUGUGUAUACAUGCAUGUGUGCAUGCCCCAACAGAUAACUUGCCUGAACAUGAGGGCUUUGGGGGGGGGUGCUGGCUUGGGGGAUGGUGUGUGGGUGGCCCCCACCCCAGCAUCCCUCACCAUCAUUAUCUCAGCAGGAGCAGCUCUUGCCCUGGGUCCCGCCCUCACUGUUUCAAGCAGCUGCUGCUUUCCCCCAAAUUAACCCCUCUGCUCCAUCUUCUCAUUUUCCUGCUGGGGGGCCUUGGGCUGGCUGGGGAGGGGUCUCGGGAGGGCAGUCCCCCCAGCAGGCAAGCUAAUCUUUCACAGACCCCAGCUCCCCCACCCCCCAGUCCACGGGGAUUCCUUUUCUUUCUUCAUUCCUGUUGCUGUGGAGGACAGGGAUAGUAUGAUUGGGUAUCAGUUUGCUCUUGUGACUGCGUGUGUGUUUGUGUGUAUGUGCAUGUGUGUGUGUUUGUGCACAUGCGUGUGUGACACACCAGGUGGGAGAGGAAGGGACUGGCUCUAGGAUGGGAAUGGAUCAGAAGCACUGUGACAGGGCCCUGGCUGCCUGGGAGGGGUGGGGCUGCUCUCUCAGUCUUAGUGUCUCAGCACCCGGGGCCUGAGUUCCCCUGGCAGCACAGAAGGGCCCAAAGAGUCUAAAGUGGCUUUUCCCAGCUGGGGAAGUCAUGGGUCCACCCAAGGCUUAUCCGAGGGCAACGAGGGAAGCUCAGCCUGGGCAGAGGGCAUGUAGCGUUCCCUCUCUGCUCAAAGGGCCCCAUCCAGGUAAAGGAGCUCCAGGAUCUCAACCGAGGUGGCUGAGGAGAGGGGGAAGCAGGAGGAUAGGUGAGAGAAGGGUGAAGGAAGGAGUUAAUCCCAGGAGGCCUUG
Molecule: long non-coding RNA, 1920 nt
Organism: Vulpes vulpes (red fox)
Lineage: Eukaryota; Metazoa; Chordata; Mammalia; Carnivora; Canidae
Source: Ensembl